AGGGAAACCGAGUCUUAACUGGGCGUUAAGUUGCAGGGUAUAGACCCGAAACCCGGUGAUCUAGCCAUGGGCAGGUUGAAGGUUGGGUAACACUAACUGGAGGACCGAACCGACUAAUGUUGAAAAAUUAGCGGAUGACUUGUGGCUGGGGGUGAAAGGCCAAUCAAACCGGGAGAUAGCUGGUUCUCCCCGAAAGCUAUUUAGGUAGCGCCUCGUGAACUCAUCUUCGGGGGUAGAGCACUGUUUCGGCUAGGGGGUCAUCCCGACUUACCAACCCGAUGCAAACUGCGAAUACCGAAGAAUGUUAUCACGGGAGACACACGGCGGGUGCUAACGUCCGUCGUGAAGAGGGAAACAACCCAGACCGCCAGCUAAGGUCCCAAAGUCACAGUUAAGUGGGAAACGAUGUGGGAAGGCUCAGACAGCCAGGAUGUUGGCUUAGAAGCAGCCAUCAUUUAAAGAAAGCGUAAUAGCUCACUGGUCGAGUCGGCCUGCGCGGAAGAUGUAACGGGGCUAAACUGUGCACCGAAGCUGCGGCAGCGACGCUUAUGCGUUGUUGGGUAGGGGAGCGUUCUGUAAGCCUGCGAAGGUGUCCUGUGAGGGAUGCUGGAGGUAUCAGAAGUGCGAAUGCUGACAUAAGUAACGAUAAUGCGGGUGAAAAGCCCGCUCGCCGGAAGACCAAGGGUUCCUGUCCAACGUUAAUCGGGGCAGGGUGAGUCGACCCCUAAGGCGAGGCCGAAAGGCGUAGUCGAUGGGAAACGGGUUAAUAUUCCCGUACUUGGUGUUACUGCGAAGGGGGGACGGAGAAGGCUAUGUUGGCCGGGCGACGGUUGUCCCGGUUUAAGCGUGUAGGCUGGUUUUCCAGGCAAAUCCGGAAAAUCAAGGCUGAGGCGUGAUGACGAGGCACUACGGUGCUGAAGCAACAAAUGCCCUGCUUCCAGGAAAAGCCUCUAAGCAUCAGGUAACAUCAAAUCGUACCCCAAACCGACACAGGUGGUCAGGUAGAGAAUACCAAGGCGCUUGAGAGAACUCGGGUGAAGGAACUAGGCAAAAUGGUGCCGUAACUUCGGGAGAAGGCACGCUGACACGUAGGUGAAGUGAUUUACUCAUGGAGCUGAAGUCAGUCGAAGAUACCAGCUGGCUGCAACUGUUUAUUAAAAACACAGCACUGUGCAAACACGAAAGUGGACGUAUACGGUGUGACGCCUGCCCGGUGCCGGAAGGUUAAUUGAUGGGGUCAGCGCAAGCGAAGCUCCUGAUCGAAGCCCCGGUAAACGGCGGCCGUAACUAUAACGGUCCUAAGGUAGCGAAAUUCCUUGUCGGGUAAGUUCCGACCUGCACGAAUGGCGUAAUGAUGGCCAGGCUGUCUCCACCCGAGACUCAGUGAAAUUGAACUCGCUGUGAAGAUGCAGUGUACCCGCGGCAAGACGGAAAGACCCCGUGAACCUUUACUAUAGCUUGACACUGAACAUUGAGCCUUGAUGUGUAGGAUAGGUGGGAGGCUUUGAAGUGUGGACGCCAGUCUGCAUGGAGCCGACCUUGAAAUACCACCCUUUAAUGUUUGAUGUUCUAACGUGGACCCGUAAUCCGGGUUGCGGACAGUGUCUGGUGGGUAGUUUGACUGGGGCGGUCUCCUCCUAAAGAGUAACGGAGGAGCACGAAGGUUGGCUAAUCCUGGUCGGACAUCAGGAGGUUAGUGCAAUGGCAUAAGCCAGCUUGACUGCGAGCGUGACGGCGCGAGCAGGUGCGAAAGCAGGUCAUAGUGAUCCGGUGGUUCUGAAUGGAAGGGCCAUCGCUCAACGGAUAAAAGGUACUCCGGGGAUAACAGGCUGAUACCGCCCAAGAGUUCAUAUCGACGGCGGUGUUUGGCACCUCGAUGUCGGCUCAUCACAUCCUGGGGCUGAAGUAGGUCCCAAGGGUAUGGCUGUUCGCCAUUUAAAGUGGUACGCGAGCUGGGUUUAGAACGUCGUGAGACAGUUCGGUCCCUAUCUGCCGUGGGCGCUGGAGAACUGAGGGGGGCUGCUCCUAGUACGAGAGGACCGGAGUGGACGCAUCACUGGUGUUCGGGUUGUCAUGCCAAUGGCACUGCCCGGUAGCUAAAUGCGGAAGAGAUAAGUGCUGAAAGCAUCUAAGCACGAAACUUGCCCCGA
RNAcentral lists this ribosomal RNA (2150 nucleotides) under Salmonella enterica subsp. enterica serovar Kentucky. RNAcentral's name for it is "partial 23S ribosomal RNA". It matches the Rfam family "Bacterial large subunit ribosomal RNA", at positions 670 to 2802 of the family's 2925-position model. Lineage: Bacteria; Pseudomonadati; Pseudomonadota; Gammaproteobacteria; Enterobacterales; Enterobacteriaceae. The record is from RNAcentral.